This 483-nucleotide ribosomal RNA is filed under the name uncultured bacterium. Its description in RNAcentral is "partial 16S ribosomal RNA". It matches the Rfam family "Bacterial small subunit ribosomal RNA", at positions 28 to 507 of the family's 1533-position model. The record is from RNAcentral.
GAUGAACGCUGGCGGCGUGCCUAACACAUGCAAGUCGAACGAAGCUUGACGGAUGUUUUCUUCGGAAUGAAACCAGAUAUGACUUAGUGGCGGACGGGUGAGUAACACGUGAGCAACCUGCCUUUCAGAGGGGGAUAACGGCUGGAAACGGUCGCUAAUACCGCAUGAUGUGUUCGGAUGGCAUCAUCUGAACAUCAAAGAUUUAUCGCUGAAAGAUGGGCUCGCGUCUGAUUAGAUAGUUGGUGGGGUAACGGCCUACCAAGUCUACGAUCAGUAGCCGGACUGAGAGGUUGAACGGCCACAUUGGGACUGAGAUACGGCCCAGACGCCUACGGGAGGCAGCAGUGGAGAAUAUUGCACAAUGGGGGAAACCCUGAUGCAGCAACGCCGCGUGAAGGAUGACGGUUUUCGGAUUGUAAACUUCUUUUCUUAGUGACGAAGACAGUGACGGUAGCUAAGGAAUAAGCAUCGGCUAACUACGUG